UGUCUCUCUGCUGUACUGGAGAAUCCUCACUGUAAACUGGAGAUACUGAGAUUCUGCAAGGGAUUCCCAAACUUUUGAAAUGCCACUGUAGGUACAAGGAGAGGAGAAGUGUUGUGUACUGAGUAAUGAACCUAGAGGCACCCCAGUUACAACAUGUUGUAACUUACUGUACAAACCUAACCCUGACACCCUGAAGGACAUACCUGAGAGGUAAGACUUGGACAACUUAAAUGAGGUUCCAAAGACACGGACAAUCAGGUGGAUAACUGCUCCAAAAGCCGCAAACAAAUCCAGCAACACGAGCACAGAUGAUUUCAAAUAAUAAUAAUAACCAAGAGCAGGACAGUCUUAGUUGAGUGGCCUCUUUGGAAACCAGAAUAGUACAAGAGGUUGCUCUGUGUAAGAAAGCACAGUUUUAACAUGACUCAUUCAUUAAAUUAAUACAAUUUUCUACUGAAGUGUUUUAUUGAUAAAAUGUUU
Long non-coding RNA from Silurus meridionalis, 480 nucleotides. RefSeq lists it as uncharacterized. NCBI's taxonomy places the organism in Eukaryota, Metazoa, Chordata, Actinopteri, Siluriformes, Siluridae. The transcript is spliced from 2 exons. The record is from RefSeq and is a predicted model, not a curated record.